GGAGAAGUGAAAAAUUCGUCAUACUUUAAAAAAAGUAACGAAUUGUAUUAAAAUUGAAUAAAGCUUUGUUUAUAUACCGAUAAUGACGGUAUAUAUAUUGUGUCUUGACCAAUUACGUGCCAGCAGUCGCGGUAAUACGUAAGAGACUAGUGUUAUUCAUCUUAAUUAGGUUUAAAGGGUACUUAGACGGUCAAUAUAUCAUAUAUGAUAGUACUUGACUAGAGUUUUAUAUAAGAAGGCAGUACUUGAGGUGGAGAGAUGAAAUUCAAUGAUACCAAAGGGACUCGGUAAAGGCGCAGGCAGCCUUUUAUGUAAUAACUGACGUUGAAGGACGAAGGCACAGAUCACAAAAAGGAAUAGUAUCCCCAGUAGUCUUUGCAGUCAAUGAUGAAUGCCAUAGGUUAGAUUUAAGAUUUUGAGUAUUUAUUCCUCAGUAAAGAAUAAGUUUCGAAACGAUAUUUAGUCUAUAAAUGAAAGUGUAAGCAUUUCACCUCAAGAGUAAUGUGGCAACGCAGGAACUGAAAUCACUAGACCGUUUCUGACACCAGUAGUGAAGUAUGUUGUUUAAUUCGAUGAUCCACGAAAAACCUUACCACAAUUUGUAUAUUUUACAGGAGUUGCACGGCUGUCUACAGUUAAUGUUGUGAAACAGUGGUUCUCCCAUGAAAUUAACGUAAUCCCUUACUUUAUUUUUGGAGUAUUAACUAUAAAGUAUUUGAUCCUGGAAUUUGGAAAGAAAAAAGGGACUAAGACAAGUCAUCAUGGCCUUGAUAUUGUGGGCUAUAGACGUGCCACAUAUGCCUAC
RNAcentral lists this ribosomal RNA (805 nucleotides) under Simplicillium lanosoniveum. RNAcentral describes it as "SSU rRNA". It matches the Rfam family "Bacterial small subunit ribosomal RNA", at positions 390 to 1238 of the family's 1533-position model. Lineage: Eukaryota; Fungi; Ascomycota; Sordariomycetes; Hypocreales; Cordycipitaceae. The record is from RNAcentral.